AGAGUUUGAUCAUGGCUCAGGAUGAACGCUAGCGGCAGGCCUAAUACAUGCAAGUCGAACGAUACCAGAGAGCUUGCUUUCUGGGAAAGUGGCGCACGGGUGCGUAACGCGUAUGCAACCUACCUUAAUCAGGGGGAUAGCCUCUCGAAAGAGAGAUUAACACCGCAUAAAAUCACACUUCGGCAUCGAAGAAUGAUCAAAUAUUUAUAGGAUUAAGAUGGGCAUGCGUGACAUUAGUUUGUUGGUGAGGUAACGGCUCACCAAGACUACGAUGUCUAGGGGAUCUGAGAGGAUGACCCCCCACACUGGUACUGAGACACGGACCAGACUCCUACGGGAGGCAGCAGUAAGGAAUAUUGGUCAAUGGGGGCAACCCUGAACCAGCCAUGCCGCGUGCAGGAAGACGGCCCUACGGGUUGUAAACUGCUUUUAUACGGGAAUAAAUCAUGCUACGUGUAGUGUGUUGAAUGUACUGUAAGAAUAAGGAUCGGCUAACUCCGUGCCAGCAGCCGCGGUAAUACGGAGGAUCCAAGCGUUAUCCGGAUUUAUUGGGUUUAAAGGGUGCGUAGGCGGCCUAUUAAGUCAGGGGUGAAAGACGGUGGCUCAACCAUCGCAGUGCCCUUGAUACUGAUGGGCUUGAUUACACUUGAGGUAGGCGGAAUGUGACAAGUAGCGGUGAAAUGCAUAGAUAUGUCACAGAACACCAAUUGCGAAGGCAGCUUACUAAGGUGUCAAUGACGCUGAGGCACGAAAGCGUGGGGAUCAAACAGGAUUAGAUACCCUGGUAGUCCACGCCCUAAACGAUGAAUACUCGAUGUUAGCGAUAUACAGUUAGCGUCAAAGCGAAAGCGUUAAGUAUUCCACCUGGGGAGUACGCCCGCAAGGGUGAAACUCAAAGGAAUUGACGG
This 908-nucleotide ribosomal RNA is filed under the name uncultured bacterium. RNAcentral describes it as "bacterial SSU rRNA". It matches the Rfam family "Bacterial small subunit ribosomal RNA", at positions 8 to 916 of the family's 1533-position model. The record is from RNAcentral.